This is an RNA transcript of Lagenorhynchus albirostris (white-beaked dolphin), 3548 nucleotides long. It is a transcript of the gene named C1q and TNF related 9, with no coding region annotated. The record is from RefSeq and is a predicted model, not a curated record. The transcript is spliced from 7 exons. NCBI's taxonomy places the organism in Eukaryota, Metazoa, Chordata, Mammalia, Artiodactyla, Delphinidae.
GAUCGCGGAGAGGAAGCAAAGGCACAAAUGUCAGUCUAAGGGGAAGCGCCUGCCGGGGGGACUUCUCCCUCCAGACCCACCUGGAAGCUGCCUCACCUUCUCUCGCUACCGAGGGUCUGUCAUACAAAGUGAAAUCCAUCCACUAGGGAAUUGCGUGGCAGGAAGGUGUGAUUUUUAUUUAGUUUGCUCCUGAUUCCUUGUUUGCAUAGCACCUGCGUGCCGCCUGCAGCCCUGGGGUUCAGCUCUGUCAUCUGAGCCAUGAGGAUCUGGUGGCUCUUGUUCGUCUCCGGGGCCUGCGCAGGGAUGGUGAGCUCACAGGACACCUGCAGGCAGGGCCACCCUGGCGUCCCCGGGAACCCAGGUCACAAUGGAUUGCCCGGGAGAGAUGGACGUGAUGGAGCAAAGGGCGACAAGGGGGACGCAGGCGAACCAGGACAUCCUGGUGGCCCAGGGAAGGACGGGAUGACCGGAGAGAAAGGAGAACCAGGAGCCGAUGGAAACGUUGAAGCAAAGGGCGUCAAAGGUGAUCAGGGCUCAAGAGGCCCCCCAGGGAAACACGGGCCAAAGGGACUUGUGGGCCCCAUGGGAGAGAAAGGCCUCAGAGGAGAGACCGGCGCCCAAGGGCAGAAGGGGGAGAAGGGCGACGUGGGUCCCGUUGGCCCAGAAGGGCCAAAGGGCAGCACUGGACCUUCGGGCCCAACUGGUUUACCUGGCCCCGUGGGCCCCACCGGAAAGCCGGGUCCCAGGGGAGAUGCCGGCCCCCUGGGGCCCCAGGGUGAGCCCGGAGCCCGGGGAAUGAGAGGCUGGAAAGGGGAUCGAGGAGAAAAAGGGAAAAUUGGGGAGACGCCAGUCUUGCCCAAAAGCGCCUUCACCGUGGGGCUCACGGUGCUGAGCAAGUUCCCUCCGUCAGACGUGCCCAUCAAGUUCGACAGGAUCCUGUACAACGAGUUUGGCCACUACAGCGUGGCCACGGGGAAAUUCACCUGCCACGUCGCCGGCGUCUAUUACUUCACCUACCACAUCACCGUUUUCUCCAGGAACGUCCAGGUGUCUUUGGUCAAAAACGGGGUAAAAGUCCUGCACACCAAGGACGGUUACAUGAGCUCCGAGGACCAGGCGUCCGGUGGCAUCGUCCUGCAGCUGAAGCUCGGGGACGAGGUGUGGUUGCAGGUGACGGGAGGGGAGAGGUUCAACGGCCUGUUUGCGGAUGAGGACGACGACACCACGUUCACGGGCUUCCUUCUGUUCAGCAGCGCGUGAUGGGUCGGGGGGCGGGGAGCAGUUCUAACUCUGUCUCUCCAUCCGCCCGAAUCAGCUUGGUGAAGACAUUAUUUGAUGGUUUUACCACGUUAAUUAUAUCACCACUGUCAUAACCAUAAAAAGGUGAAAGUAGGAAAGUUAUUCCUAAAACUGAGUCUAUAGAACUCGCUAUCCUUCCAAGAGUAAAUGUAAAAAUACCUGCUCUGUUUAUUACAGUGUAUUUGAUAUUUUCCAUCAUUCCCGUGAUCUGAAGAAUCCUUUGCUCAGGCGUUCCUUGUGGGGAGUGUUUUGAUAUUUUAGUGCUCGAAGGAGCCGUGAGAUGCUGUAUCUCCCAUCUGAAUUCCGGAGGACAUUACAGGGAAAGAAAAGGAAGUGUUUAUUCCCUCUGUGACUAAUAAGAGUUUGGGCUGGUGACAGUGGCACAGCCCAGGAAACUGCAGGACACUCUGCUCACUUUCUAUCUUGGGUUUUCAUCACCAUUCAACUCAACAAACAGUUGUUAGUAAACUGUUUGCCAAACUUGACUCUGUUUUAGUUUCCCUCCGUAUCCACAGUUCCGUAUAUGCAGAUUCAACCAACCAUGGUUGGAAAAUAUUUGGAAAAAAAAAAUCAGGAAGUUCCAAAAAGCAAAACUUGAAUUUGCCAACCUGGAAACUGCUGACAUAGCAUUUACACUGUACUAGGUAAUUUAAAUAAUCUAGAGGGGAACUGCCCUGUGGUCCAGCGAAUAAUCCCCUCCUAAAAUUCUGGAAGUGUUAACUAUGCUUACGUUAACUCCAUACACUUUUCCAUUAGCUGAGAGCAACUAAUAAAGAAGCAAGAGGAGACAAGCCCAGUGCAUAUUCAAGCGACAGCAUCUUCCAGAUCACAGCCUGGGACUCUGACGGACUUACAGCCGUUCUCUCCACACGUCAGCCAAGUCAGCACAGUUGUGACAGUAUCUUCAUUCCUUGGGAAAAUGGGAAUUUUCUGAAUUAUCAUUAUAAGCAGUCAGCACUGCUAUAGAUGAAAAGGUGAAAAAUUACUUGGUUUUGGAAAACUUUGGAUAUAUGUGGAAAUCAUUUCUGUUUAUAGGUAUUUUAUUGGCUUUCCUUAAUGUAUGUUUCUUCUAGAACAGAGCCAGGACUCGGGUGAAGCACGUGAGACACCUCAAGUCCCCCACUUGCCUUGGCGCCCUAACGUUGGCCCAGCUGUAGGGACUGAUCAUUUUCUUUAUUGAGCCAGAGUGUCCUUAUGCUUUGGCUUCUUUCAAUUGCAAUAAGCCGAGCUGUUUUUCCCCAGUGUUAAGUCUGGUGUUGUUAUGGAUCAAACAAUUCAUGUACUAACUCCCUUCUAAUUAGGGUCAGAACUUUAUAGGUGAGAUAGGCGUAAAGAAAAAAAGUACAGUUUAUGACCAGAAUAUUGGAUACAAGCUUUCAUAAAAUUUUUUUUUUUUUGCAGGGCAAAUGUAUAAGAUGAAAUGUAAAACAUGUUAUAAAGAACUUCGAAAGGAUAAAGUUGAUUGGGGAGGUGUCUGAUCUGCCAUUUGGAAUUAUCUCUCAUCUGCUGUCUGUGGAUCUGGUCUGCAGUUUUUACAAGUCUAACUACGCCAGGCUCCCUGAGACACAAGACACCUCGUUAACGUAGCACAAGCCAGCAUCCUUUGAGGGUGUUUUUACGCUUCAAUUGUUUGCAUUAAAAAUGAUUUGACAGCUGUGUAAGGGCCUGCCGCGCAGGCCUGCAAUGUGGGGUGGCUGUCCCCAAGGACCAACCAGCCACAGACGAUGCGGUAUUAAUCGCCACGGAGUUAGGACUUCGGGGAUUUUAAAUAAUUUGGAAUCUGAUGAAAAAGUCAGCAGAAGAUGAAAUCACGACUUACUGUAUGUACACAAACGAACGCAGAAUUUCUAGUUAAGCUGUAGAGACUUGUGUAAGCGCACCCUGGCAUCGCCUUUACUAAAUUUUCAUUGUUCUCUUUUUAUCACUGGGGCUUUUUCUCCGCACCAGGCUACUCUGAAAACAAACUCCAUUUAACAGUAAAUUGUUGUGAGGACGAAAGGGGCGGGUUAGAAGCCCGCCCCAGUUGGCCCUCGCUUCUGGCUCUCUGGAACUUCAGAGAAUGUUCCGGGGCUGCUCACAUCCAACAGGUGUUCCCAGGAGCAGACUCUACCUCAGGCCCACGCAUUCAGGGCCUGUUUGGAGUUCCUGAGCUCAGCGCCCCAGAAGGAUUCCGUGUCGCCCAGGAGAAGGCCUUGAGGAAAACGGAGCAGCUGGUGCGCCGCGUGUGCUCUGCGCCUCCUGGGCCCCAG